This 277-nucleotide long non-coding RNA is filed under the name Rattus norvegicus (Norway rat). RNAcentral's name for it is "long non-coding RNA NONRATT027371". Lineage: Eukaryota; Metazoa; Chordata; Mammalia; Rodentia; Muridae. The record is from RNAcentral.
AACCCUUCCUUCUCCUGCCUUUACGGGUUGCGUUGUAGCCACAAGACCAGUAGCUAAGGUCACAACGGCAUGGCUGUGUCCCAGACUUUCCCACCGGGGCCUGCCCAUGAGCCUGCCAGUGCCCUGAUGGAGCCUUGCGCUCGAAGCUUAGCUGAGGGCUUCCUGGAGGAAGAGCUUCGGCUCAAUGCUGAGCUGAGCCAGCUGCAGUUUCCAGAGCCUGUGGGUGUCAUCUACAACCCAGUGGAUUAUGCUUGGGAGCCACACCGGAACUACGUGA